RNAcentral lists this transfer RNA (76 nucleotides) under Candidatus Adlerbacteria bacterium RIFCSPHIGHO2_12_FULL_53_18. RNAcentral's name for it is "tRNA-Lys". It matches the Rfam family "tRNA". From Rfam's summary of the family: Transfer RNA (tRNA) molecules are approximately 80 nucleotides in length. Their secondary structure includes four short double-helical elements and three loops (D, anti-codon, and T loops). The record is from RNAcentral. RNAcentral also lists the same sequence under 1 other name. Lineage: Bacteria; Candidatus Adleribacteriota.
CCGCCCAUAGCUCAGUCGGUAGAGCGGCUCCCUUUUAAGGAGAAGGUCCCAGGUUCGAAUCCUGGUGGGCGGACAA